CUCCUUCACACUCUUCAUACUCAUCUGUUAAUGGUCUAGCAUUUAAUGUACCCUCUAUCUCUACUAGCACUGUGGUAAGUUCAUCUACUGUAAAUUUGGCAUUACCUAGAACCUUUCUAAGACACCGUUUAACACUCCGAACCAUUCUCUCAAAAAAUCCUCCCCACCAAGGCGCUCUUUCUAAAUUAAACCUCCAUGUUACUCGUUUGGUUUGCAAUUCCGCCUUAACCUUAGGUUGGUUAAACAACCGUCUAACUGCCCUUUCUGCUGCCUUAAACGUUUUGGCAUUGUCAGAUACUAUGAGGCUUGGCAUUCCUCUCCUAGCAGCAAAUCUCCGUAGACAACAUAAAAAUGUCUCUGCAGACAAAUCCCUAACUAGCUCCAAAUGUAUAGCUCUAGUCACACAACAAGAAAACAAUGCUAUAUAAACUUUACUUGGACAUUUUGCACAACACUUUACAAACAAUGGACUUGCAAAAUCUAUUCCCACAUUAGAAA
This is a non-coding RNA of Paramuricea clavata, 498 nucleotides long. Lineage: Eukaryota; Metazoa; Cnidaria; Anthozoa; Malacalcyonacea; Plexauridae. The record is from the annotation of a GenBank genome assembly.